This 467-nucleotide ribosomal RNA is filed under the name uncultured soil bacterium. RNAcentral describes it as "bacterial SSU rRNA". It matches the Rfam family "Bacterial small subunit ribosomal RNA", at positions 26 to 522 of the family's 1533-position model. The record is from RNAcentral.
AGGACGAACGCUGGCGGCGUGCUUAACACAUGCAAGUCGAGCGGUAAGGCCUUUCGGGGUACACGAGCGGCGAACGGGUGAGUAACACGUGGGUGAUCUGCCCUGCACUUCGGGAUAAGCCUGGGAAACUGGGUCUAAUACCGGAUAUGACCUCCUAUCGCAUGGUGGGUGGUGGAAAGAUUUAUCGGUGCAGGAUGGGCCCGCGGCCUAUCAGCUUGUUGGUGGGGUAAUGGCCUACCAAGGCGACGACGGGUAGCCGACCUGAGAGGGUGACCGGCCACACUGGGACUGAGACACGGCCCAGACUCCUACGGGAGGCAGCAGUGGGGAAUAUGCACAAUGGGCGAAAGCCUGAUGCAGCGACGCGCGUGAGGAUGACGGCCUUCGGGUGUAAACCUCUUUCAGCAGGACGAAGCGCAAGUGACGUACCUGCAGAGAAGCACGCUAACACGUGCCAGCACGCCGAC